Mauremys mutica (yellowpond turtle) is the source of this 2362-nucleotide long non-coding RNA. RefSeq lists it as uncharacterized. NCBI's taxonomy places the organism in Eukaryota, Metazoa, Chordata, Testudines, Geoemydidae. The transcript is spliced from 3 exons. The record is from RefSeq and is a predicted model, not a curated record.
CAUAGGUGUUUUGCUGUUCUUGCAGAGGCCCGCUCAAGGCCAAUGGAGCCGCCCCAGACAGAGGAGAAGCAUCUGGAGGAACCAGACCUGCACAAUCUAGAUGUUUUUCACUUGGCAGUGGAGCUAAGGAGUGCUCUCGUGAUAUUGGAGGAGCAGUUGUGUGUUUUUGUGAAAUCUCUCUCUAUCCAGUAUCUGCUGUGAUAGACCCAGGCCAGUUGGGAACAGCAGAGUAGUAGAAGGGAGAUAAACCUGCCACUGGAUAAGUAGUUUUCUGUUCCCUGAGUGACCAGAGCAGGGGCUGCUCCAGGCUAAUGAGAACACCUGACUCCAAUUAACCUGCUAAGAGUCAGGUGAGGCUGUUAAGCAUGUGACUCUAAUUAAGCAGUAGGUGUUUGGAAUCCCUCAUCUGUACUCUUCAGUUUUGCUCAGAGGCUGUGAAUUUCCUCGUUGAACACGGUGCUCUGUGGGUUUAGUACCAAGGGAAAAGAAGUGGAGGGUCAGAGUCUGCUCCCCUCAUGCGAUGGAAAGCAAGUAAGAGCGGGGAGACAGCGAACAUUACUGAUGCCAGGCAAGAGCCGUCCAGCUUGGAGCCGAGCAGCCGUCACCGUCAGUGAGAUAAGUGUCUUGUUAGAUGAGGGCUCUGCUCACUUCCCACUUGGCUUCAGGUACGGAUGCCCAGUUAGCUACGGCUUGGUGUGUAACAAAAUGAGCUGUGGAUAUGUGGGAGACAAGGUCCCCAUUUUCAGCAUCAGCUCAUUUCUCCGUUCACAAGCGGUGUGUCCUCUGCAGAAAAGUUUGGAUCCAGGAGGAUGAUUCCAGGUGGUGAGUUGCUUGCCUUCCUCCCGUGUUAAUCUCUCUCUCUCUCUCUUUUCUCUGUGUGUUGGCCAACACACUCUCUCUAAAUCUGUCCUUGCCUCAUUUUGCGUUGUCGUGCUUCAUGGCACAUGGGCAGGUGUGCUAGGUGUGCUCCCCACAGGCUUGGGUCUCGGGAGUAAUGAAGAAGUAGGAGGGGACAAAAAUUAUGUGGGGUAGAAGGGAUGAGAGUGGAUUGGAGACUGUCGGUUUUGAGUCGGUCUGUGUUCAUCAGGUGGGGCUGAUGUAAAUGGAAUGGGAGAGGGAGCAAGAGAUGAGGGCAAGAUUUCACACACCUUCACAACUGUGUAAUGCUGGAUCAUGCAUGGCUUUUGCAGCUGCGCUGGUACAGGAAUUGUCCAGGAACCCUACCCGGAGGAGAGACUCUCAGAAGUGAACCUGAUCUGCCUGAACAUCCUUCUAAGCAGACAUGAACAGUCCUCAGCUUUCUGCCUCCUGCAUAAAUGGCUGUGAGUAAGCAGGAAAAGUCAUGUGCCAGUCUACUGCCCUCAUGCGAUGGAAAGCGAGCGAGAGUGAUGAGACCGUGAGCAUGGUUGAUGCCACGCAAAAUCCGUCCAUCUGGCAGCAGAAGAGCCGUCAAUGUCAGUGAGAUAAGUGUCUGUUUUGGUGAGGACUCUGCUCAUGGCCCACGUUGAUGCUGGUAGGGAUGCCCCGUUAGCUAGGGCUGGGUUUGUAAGAAAAGGUUCCUGACUAGCUGUGGUUGUAAGAGAGACAAGGUUCCCAAUUUCAGGGGCUGAUGAUUCCUCUGGUCAGGAGCAGUGUGUCCUACGCAGCAGAAGGUAGCAUCUAGAGGAUGACUCCAGGUGUCGAGUUACUUGCCUUCCUCCCAUGUUUCUCUGUCUUCUCUAUUGUGUUGGCCAACACUCUCGCUCUUUCAUUCUCCUUUCCUUGCCUUUCCUGGUGCCGUCUCCCUACGUAGGACGCGGGAAAAGGGUGCUAGGUGUGCAUCCACACAGUCUACGUCUUUGGGACCCAUGAAGAAUUAGGAGGGUAUGAAAAUCAUGCAUAUUAGUGGGUGCCACAGUGGAGCAGUGUCUGUCAGUGUUGACUUGGUCUUUAAUCAUUUCGCCUGGGGCUGUUGUAGACCAAAUGAGAGAGGGAGGCAGAGAUUAGGCAAGAUUUCACAUACCUUCAGAGCUUUGUGUAAUGCUGACUCACCCUUGGCUUUUGCAACUGCACUGGCAGAGGAAUUGUCCAGGAGCGCUAUCUAGAGGAGAGACUCUCAAAAGUGGACCUGAACAUCUUUCUAAGCAGACAUGAACAGUCCUCAGCUUUCUGCCUCCUGCACAACUGGCUUACCAAGGGAAAAGAAGUCACGUAUCCGUCUACUGUCCUCAUGCGAAGGAAAGAGAGACCGACGAGACCGCGAUCAUUGUCGAAAUCAGGCAUUAGCUGUACAUCUGGGAGCGGAACAGUCACCGAUGUCAGUGAGAUAAAUGUCUGGUUUGGUGAGGGAUCUGCUCAUGGCCCACCUGGCUCCAGGUAGGGA